This 223-nucleotide unclassified non-coding RNA is filed under the name Hevea brasiliensis (rubber tree). The record is from RNAcentral. Lineage: Eukaryota; Viridiplantae; Streptophyta; Magnoliopsida; Malpighiales; Euphorbiaceae.
GGCAAAUAUCGUCUUUCCCAUCAAUUCAGUCUCAUUAUCCUACUCCUAACACAGGGCUGAUAACUCUUCAUGUCUCCUCUGUGCCCAGUACUUGGCUCUUUCAUCUGUCAGCUUACGUUUUAUAUUUCUGAACUGAAAUCCUUUAAGACCAGAUAAUUAUUUUAAGUGGUUCCUAUUUUGUAUGCCAUUCAUUAUUUUGUCACUCUCUCUCUCUCUCUCUCUC